RNAcentral lists this ribosomal RNA (567 nucleotides) under uncultured archaeon. RNAcentral describes it as "bacterial SSU rRNA". It matches the Rfam family "Archaeal small subunit ribosomal RNA", at positions 129 to 694 of the family's 1478-position model. The record is from RNAcentral.
AUUUCGGGAAACUUGAAGCUAAUACCAGAUAGAUAAGAGGUACUGGAAUGUCCUCUUAUCCAAAGAUUUAUCGCUUAAGGAUUGGACUGCUCCGGAUUAGGUUGUUGAUAGGGUAACGUCCUGUCAAGCCGAUAAUCCGUACGAGCCUUGAGAGAGGAAGCUCGGAGAUGGAUUCUGAGACAAGAAUCCAGGCCCUACGGGGCGCAGCAGGCGCGAAAAUUUCCCAAUGCACGAAAGUGUGAGGAAGGGAUUCGGAGUGCUCCCCCUUACAUAGGGGAAGCUUUUGUAGAGUGUAAAAAGCCUUAAGAAUAAGUGGUGGGUAAGACGGGUGCCAGCCGCCGCGGUAAUACCCGCGCCACGAGUGAUGACCACGUUUAUUGGGCUUAAAGCGUUCGUAGCCGGCCCGGUAAGUCCUUAGUGAAAUCCCGCAGCUAACUGUGGGGCUUGCUAGGGAAACUGCUGGACUUGGGACCGGGAGAGGUCUGGGGUACUCAAAGGGUAGGGGUAAAAUCCUGUAAUCCUUUGGGGACCACCCGUGGCGAACGCGCCAGACCAGAACGGAUCCGA